RNAcentral lists this small RNA (367 nucleotides) under Pongo abelii (Sumatran orangutan). RNAcentral describes it as "processed transcript". The record is from RNAcentral. Lineage: Eukaryota; Metazoa; Chordata; Mammalia; Primates; Hominidae.
CUCUGGGGCAGGUCCUCGCGUAGAACGCGGCUGUCAGAUCUGCCACUUCCCCUGCCGAGCGGCGGUGAGAAGUGUGGGAACCGGCGCUGCCAGGCUCACCUGCCUCCCCGCCCUCCGCUCCCAGCAUUGGUCAUCCGCCCCCCCACCAGGCUUCCACUCCCCCUCCCCUCUUAUCUCCCCUGGCUUCCCCUCCUCUCGGGCGCCGCGAAAAGCAGCCGCACUUAGUCAACAAAUGGCACGUGGGAGAAGUUGGAAUCUGAGAAUUGCUCUCACACACCAACCCUGCAACAUCCGUGGAGAAAACUCUCAGCAGCAACUCCUUUAAAAUACCGUCAUUUCAAACCAUUGUGGUCUUUAAGCAACAACA